GUGAUGUUUGCGUGAUGUUUGCGUGAUGUUUGCGUGAUGUUUGCGUGAUGUUUGCGUGAUGUUUGCGUGAUGUUUGGCUUUGUGUGUUUUUAAACUGCUUGUGUUCAUUGUAAUCCCUAUCAACAAGUUAAGAACACCAACUGGCUGUGCUCAACAGUGUUGGGAAAAUGUUUUUGCCACGACCUUUUGCCUACAGAAUGGACUCAUUUUCCCUGAGGUUGCCUUAACCGCAUGAUCGACCUGGCUAUGACCCAAGAACUGUUGUACCUGGCCAUAGCGGCCCUUCAAAGCUCCCUGGUCCUGUCGCAUCUGGGAGUUGUGGUGUUGUCCAAGUGUUCAGCGUUCUGAUCUGAACUCUUAUAAAAGGAUUUGUAAGACUGCUGCUUCCCCCUUCAUUCCUCAGACUCUGAACAGGCUGGGUGUGUUCCUUCUGGAGUACCUUACCCUAGUAUACUUCCACUACCUCACCUUUCAGUCUCCAAGUAAGUUCUAGGCAGGGCUUCUCUCAGAUUGAAUGUCUGAAGACCAACGGUUCCCACUUCCUGAGGGUGCAGUGGCGGCAGGUUCUAUUCCAGCCCCACUCCCUGCUACAGCAGCCCCACCCUGAGUUGUUAGCCCCGAGCCUAGCCAAGAAGGGCUUGAGGCUAAUUAUGGUGAGCUGUUCAUCACUGAAGAUCCCUGCUGGCACCAGCCAUCUCAGAACCUGCUAUGAGCAUGGGAAUGACCAAUGUAACUCGGCCAGCUUCAUCUGGUACCAUCCUACUGUCACAUACAAACAGCUGUUUCCUGAACCCAGUGAUACCAAGGUAAAGAGGACUCUAGCUCUGCCAAGGGUCAGAUUGGCUCCAGUCCUUCCCAGCAGAGCCAGGGAGUAACUAUGGUUUUCAUGACAGUACCGUCAUGAAACCACAGGUUGUAGCUGGUUCCAGUUCUUCUCAGGUCAUCUCCAGUUCUGACCCUCGGAACCUUUGACAGGAUGUUCUAGACCCGUGGUCCCCUGGCUUAAUCAGUGCUCUCUGGAAUGAGUCAGAAGUAGGGUUCCUGGAUUUCUGUACAUAAUUGUAACCAAUAUACGUUGCUAAUACUUUUAGCACUUUGUUGUGUUCCUCGGAUCCCAGUCAACGGCUGUAGUUUUGGACAUCACUAUUACUACAGUCAUAGGGUCUACUAAGCCUCUAAGAACAACUUGGAUAAUGAAUUAACCAGGUUCAAGUUUUGAAGUCUCUCUGUCCUGAGUAACACUUGUUUCUUGUCUUCCUCAGCACCAUCCAUCGACACUAACCUGCAUUCCUAUGUUUUCAUGACUUAAUAAAUGAUACAAUGUUUAUUUUGUCUAUUGACUAAAGAACUGAUUGGCUUUCUACAGUUUUUAAUGUAAUAUUUUUUAAGUCUCUUGGGUGUUAUACUUUAAUUGAAAGUUGCGACUGGUACAUUAGUUCAAAUCUUAACAUCUCUUAAAUUGGCUGGCUAUAACAUGACUGCAGUCCUAGGCUCUAUGACUGCAUAUAUUUUCUAACAAAUAUAACCAAGAAGGGUUAGUUUUAAGCUGUGACCAAGCAAUUGACAUUAGAUCACUUAAUUGGACAGUGGGCUUCCAAAUUUGUCUAACAAACCACUAGUCUCCAGAACUUGAACCUGGUUAAUUCAAUGUUAUCCAAGUCGUUCUCAGAGGCUUAGUAGUCCCAAUAUUUUAAAUGGUUAAUCAACUUUUAUCUGACACGGGAAUGGCUCUUACUGUGGCAAUUUUGCUUGACUUGAGAUAUUAGCCAUUUUCAGUGCAACAUACUGACUAAUGAACUACGCAAGAGAUUUUGUAGGCAGAACACAUUGGCGUUGGAUUCUAUUGCAUUGACAAGCACUACUCAGCCCACUACUCUACGUAGACCGGUGCGGCAUAAACAAUCAGCGGUACACUAAGCCAGAAUGCAAAUUGACCAUUGCCAUAUAUGGAUCUGUGCCGUUUACUUUGAACUGGAUGGUGUUUACAGCAUCAGCGAGUAGAUGCGCUUGUUUUGACAUCAAAGCAUCAGCUGCAUGUAGCCACGUGUGCAAUUUUGUUCAUAUUCUUUGAAAGUUAUUAGCCCAGUUUGAUCAUUUGUAGUCAGCAAUGGUGAUUGACGAGCACAAUGUGUACAUUUCUAGGCAUAUUUGAGAAGCGAAUGCUUGU
This is a long non-coding RNA of Oncorhynchus tshawytscha (Chinook salmon), 2167 nucleotides long. NCBI's taxonomy places the organism in Eukaryota, Metazoa, Chordata, Actinopteri, Salmoniformes, Salmonidae. The record is from Ensembl.